AGAGUUUGAUCCUGGCUCAGGACGAACGCUGGCGGCGUGCUUAACACAUGCAAGUCGAACGGUGACGCUGGAGCUUGCUCCAGCUGAUCAGUGGCGAACGGGUGAGUAACACGUGAGCAACCUGCCCUUGACUCUGGGAUAACCCCGGGAAACCGGAGCUAAUACCGGAUACGAACCGCACAGGCAUCUGCGUGGUUGGAAAGAUUUAUCGGUCAAGGAUGGGCUCGCGGCCUAUCAGCUUGUUGGUGGGGUAACGGCCCACCAAGGCGACGACGGGUAGCCGGCCUGAGAGGGCGACCGGCCACACUGGGACUGAGACACGGCCCAGACUCCUACGGGAGGCAGCAGUGGGGAAUAUUGCACAAUGGGCGAAAGCCUGAUGCAGCGACGCCGCGUGAGGGAUGAAGGCCUUCGGGUUGUAAACCUCUUUCAGCAGGGAAGAAGCGAAAGUGACGGUACCUGCAGAAGAAGCACCGGCUAACUACGUGCCAGCAGCCGCGGUAAUACGUAGGGUGCAAGCGUUGUCCGGAAUUAUUGGGCGUAAAGAGCUCGUAGGCGGUCUGUCGCGUCUGCUGUGAAAACUCGGGGCUCAACCCCGGGCCUGCAGUGGGUACGGGCAGACUAGAGUGCGGUAGGGGAGACUGGAAUUCCUGGUGUAGCGGUGAAAUGCGCAGAUAUCAGGAGGAACACCGGUGGCGAAGGCGGGUCUCUGGGCCGUAACUGACGCUGAGGAGCGAAAGCAUGGGUAGCGAACAGGAUUAGAUACCCUAGUAGUCC
RNAcentral lists this ribosomal RNA (777 nucleotides) under uncultured bacterium. Its description in RNAcentral is "bacterial SSU rRNA". It matches the Rfam family "Bacterial small subunit ribosomal RNA", at positions 8 to 796 of the family's 1533-position model. The record is from RNAcentral.